This 468-nucleotide ribosomal RNA is filed under the name uncultured bacterium. RNAcentral's name for it is "partial 16S ribosomal RNA". It matches the Rfam family "Bacterial small subunit ribosomal RNA", at positions 28 to 507 of the family's 1533-position model. The record is from RNAcentral.
GAUGAACGCUGGCGGCGUGCUUAACACAUGCAAGUCGAACGGAAAGGCCCAAGCUUGCUUGGGUACUCGAGUGGCGAACGGGUGAGUAACACGUGGGUGAUCUGCCCUGCACUUCGGGAUAAGCCUGGGAAACUGGGUCUAAUACCGGAUAGGACGAUGGUUCGGAUGCCAUUGUGGAAAGUUUUUUCGGCGUGGGAUGAGCUCGCGGCCUAUCAGCUUGUUGGUGGGGUAAUGGCCUACCAAGGCGUCGACGGGUAGCCGGCCUGAGAGGGUGUACGGCCACAUUGGGACUGAGAUACGGCCCAGACUCCUACGGGAGGCAGCAGUGGGGAAUAUUGCACAAUGGGCGCAAGCCUGAUGCAGCGACGCCGCGUGGGGGAUGACGGCCUUCGGGUUGUAAACUCCUUUCGCUAGGGACGAAGCGUUUUUGUGACGGUACCUGGAGAAGAAGCACCGGCUAACUACGUG